CCUAGACCCGCUGACUGUGGGUCGCGCCCUCUUCGCUGGGGUUUGGCUGGGGAUCCAAACCCGGAGCAGGCUCUGGAGAGAGUGUCGUCCACGCGACCAGCACAUGUAUGGCGGCUCAGGGACCUCAGGGUUGGCGGCGUGAUGGGCGUGAGCACCUGUCCCUUGGGACACCUCGAGGAACCAACGUGGAAUGAGUGUAGAGGACGGUGCCAACAGGCAGUGUAUGGAACAGGGAUGCAUGAAAAGAAAGGACCGCGGAACCCAUUGUGCUCUAUCACUUGGUGACUUUGCCACUGGACCCAACAAGAACGGAAAUUCCUGGCUCCCAGGGCCAUCCCGGCGUGGGAAGCUUGUCGCGGACCCUUUAAGGCUCCAUCUCCCUGCCCUUCCCCGCCCAGGACAGGCCGGGACACCGGGGACCUGACAUUUGGCGGAGUAUACUGUGGGAGCUAAAAAUAGUCGCCGCUAGGGGUUACUUCGGGGCAUUGUUCUUCACACACCCCGCGCGCGCGGGCUCGCACGCUCUGUGUCAUGCUAUUGGAGUUCUCCCCUCCCCGGGCAAGUACACCUGGCCCAUCCCCACGUCUUCGUCCUAGCAGCCUG
RNAcentral lists this long non-coding RNA (603 nucleotides) under Marmota monax (woodchuck). The record is from RNAcentral. Lineage: Eukaryota; Metazoa; Chordata; Mammalia; Rodentia; Sciuridae.